GAACGAGAAAGUGGAGCAAUCCAUGAGUAAAGUGGCGACCGGGUGAGUAACACGUGACUAACCUACCUUCGAGUGGGGGAUAACCUAGGGAAACCUGGGCUAAUACCGCAUAACAUCUUUGGAGUGGAAAUUCUGGAGAUCAAAGGGGCAAUUCGCUUGAAGAGGGGGUCGCGGCUGAUUAGCUAGUUGGCGGGGUAAUGGCCCACCAAGGCGAAGAUCGGUAGCCGGCCUGAGAGGGCGCACGGCCACACUGGAACUGAAACACGGUCCAGACUCCUACGGGAGGCAGCAGUGGGGAAUUUUGCGCAAUGGGGGAAACCCUGACGCAGCAACGCCGCGUGGAGGAUGAAGUCCCUUGGGAUGUAAACUCCUUUCGAUCGGGACGAUGAUGACGGUACCGGAAGAAGAAGCACCGGCUAACUCUGUG
This 427-nucleotide ribosomal RNA is filed under the name uncultured bacterium. RNAcentral's name for it is "bacterial SSU rRNA". It matches the Rfam family "Bacterial small subunit ribosomal RNA", at positions 64 to 507 of the family's 1533-position model. The record is from RNAcentral.